This 253-nucleotide ribosomal RNA is filed under the name uncultured prokaryote. Its description in RNAcentral is "partial 16S ribosomal RNA". It matches the Rfam family "Bacterial small subunit ribosomal RNA", at positions 525 to 777 of the family's 1533-position model. The record is from RNAcentral.
ACGUAGGGUGCGAGCGUUAAUCGGAAUUACUGGGCGUAAAGCGUGCGUAGACGGUUACAUAAGUCGGGUGCGAAAGCCCCGGGCUCAACCUGGGAAUUGCAUUCGAGACUGCGUAGCUAGGGUGCGGAAGAGGGAAGCGGAAUUUCCGGUGUAGCGGUGAAAUGCGUAGAUAUCGGAAGGAACACCAGUGGCGAAAGCGGCUCACUGGACCACAACUGACGCUGAGGCGCGAAAGCUAGGGGAGCAAACAGGA